UACAUGCAGUCGACGAGCUUCCGUUGAAUGACGUGCUUGCACUGAUUUCAACAAUGAAGCGAGUGGCGAACUGGUGAGUAACACGUGGGGAAUCUGCCCAGAAGCAGGGGAUAACACUUGGAAACAGGUGCUAAUACCGUAUAACAACAAAAUCCGCAUGGAUUUUGUUUGAAAGGUGGCUUCGGCUAUCACUUCUGGAUGAUCCCGCGGCGUAUUAGUUAGUUGGUGAGGUAAAGGCCCACCAAGACGAUGAUACGUAGCCGACCUGAGAGGGUAAUCGGCCACAUUGGGACUGAGACACGGCCCAAACUCCUACGGGAGGCAGCAGUAGGGAAUCUUCCACAAUGGACGAAAGUCUGAUGGAGCAAUGCCGCGUGAGUGAAGAAGGGUUUCGGCUCGUAAAACUCUGUUGUUAAAGAAGAACACCUUUGAGAGUAACUGUUCAAGGGUUGACGGUAUUUAACCAGAAAGCCACGGCUAACUACGUGCCAGCAGCCGCGGUAAUACGUAGGUGGCAAGCGUUGUCCGGAUUUAUUGGGCGUAAAGCGAGCGCAGGCG
This 558-nucleotide ribosomal RNA is filed under the name Levilactobacillus brevis. Its description in RNAcentral is "bacterial SSU rRNA". It matches the Rfam family "Bacterial small subunit ribosomal RNA", at positions 52 to 577 of the family's 1533-position model. Lineage: Bacteria; Bacillati; Bacillota; Bacilli; Lactobacillales; Lactobacillaceae. The record is from RNAcentral.